RNA transcript from Hippocampus comes (tiger tail seahorse), 1508 nucleotides. It is a transcript of the gene named endonuclease V-like, with no coding region annotated. The transcript has 4 exons. Lineage: Eukaryota; Metazoa; Chordata; Actinopteri; Syngnathiformes; Syngnathidae. The record is from RefSeq and is a predicted model, not a curated record.
AAGAACAAAACGUGAAAGUCAAUCCUUCAAUGUUUUGCAUUAGCCAGAUUGGCACCAUCAUUUACCCAGAAAAUCUCACCUUCCAAAAACCUCAUUUGUCCUUUGCUCCCCUCGACACCAUUUUCUUUCAGUCUUUAACAUCUUAAUCAACCUUCUUCUCACCCUUCUCCAACCCUCGUCACACGAACCGAGUGCGAAUUCAAACCAACAUGUCGAUGAGGUCUUGCUUCCUUUCUGACGUCUGCUGCUGUGCCACGGAUCCUGGUACUUGCGUCACCUUGCACUCCUCUCACAUUCAGUGGACGUCCCAUUCAUCCAGGAAGCGCCUUUCAUCGUUCUGGCCCACAAUGCACAGGAACUCUUACCAGCAUCUUUCCACAUCAUGACAUCUGACUUCAUACUUUUCUCAGUGAUAUCAGCACUGCAGAAAGGAGGAGACAGCUUUCCCCUCAGAGCAAACUCUGGCAAAGUGCUUGGAAAGGCACUGCGUAGCUCAGACAGGAGCACCAAGCCAGUCUAUGUGUCAGUUGGCCACAAGAUCAGUCUGGAUACAGCUGUUCAGCUCACAUACUCCUGCAGCCGGUUCAGAGUUCCGGAGCCAAUUAGACAGGUACCAAAGAACACGCAUGUGCACACAUGCAUUUGUCAUCUGCUAAAGCGCUAAGCCAACAGCUCCUAUUCUGGAGCUGUGAUGCCAAUGAAUUGUGAUUAAGAGAUCAGCACAAAUAUAACAAAGCUCUGCACUGGUAUGUAAACCCUGUCACCUUCGAUCUCUUGAAUGGCUGUUACAUGCCGUAUGGUAUGAAAGUCACCUAAAAUUAAACAGUAAUUUUACAAGUAAGAUAUCUGCCAUAAAAUGCGUCACAUGCCAGAAUAAUAGUGUUUCGUAUUGCCUCGAAGACAACUUAUAGUUACUAAGUAGACAAAAGGCACGACAAGACAAGGGUACAUGGGAAACAACGGAGCCAGUAGGAUGGAUGAAAAUGGUAAAAUAGACACAAGGCCUGUGGCUAAUAAUGUAAAAAAGGGCAAACUAAGACAGGAUUGAGGUGGACCAGAGCGGGAAAAUCAGAGUUCCACAAAAUGAAUUUGCAAGGGCCAUGAAGGCAACUGAUUCUUAACCCUCUGAACUUUAAAUUCACAUUUUUUACUUGAAAUCCAAAUCUAUAAAAACCAACAAAACUGAAAGAAGCAACUUUUCAAGGAUAUCGAAUUCACAAAAACCACCUCACGAAUCCAUCGUGUCAAGCUUCAAGUUGAUCCUACAGUCCUUUGAGGGAACAAAUGAACAGUUUGUUAACAAAUGCUAUGUCACUGGACAGUGUACUAUUUGCUAGUUACUACUUUUCGUAUUUGCGCUCUUCUUUGUCCCAUUUUGGGGGAAAUUUGUUGUGUUUGUUCCAUAAAUUUCUUUCAGUGCGUUUCAAUGGAGGAGCCAGAAAAAGGUAAAUGCGUAGUUAUUGUUUUUGAUUCAACCAAGGUAAUAACAUCACUGAAGAAAGCAAAGA